Molecule: ribosomal RNA, 300 nt
Filed under: uncultured Terracoccus sp.
Lineage: Bacteria; Bacillati; Actinomycetota; Actinomycetes; Micrococcales; Intrasporangiaceae
Description: bacterial SSU rRNA
Rfam family: Bacterial small subunit ribosomal RNA
Source: RNAcentral
AGUAUACGCGGGCAAGUAGCGGAGGGAAUAUGUAGGGUGCGGGGGUUGUCCGGAAUUAUUGGGCGUAAAGAGCUCGUAGGCGGUCCGUCACGUCGGGCGUGAAAAUCCAGGGCUCAACCCUGGACCUGCGCCCGUUACGGGCGGACUAGAGUUCGGUAGGGGAGACUGGAAUUCCUGGUGUAGCGGUGAAAUGCGCAGAUAUCAGGAGGAACACCGGUGGCGAAGGCGGGUCUCUGGGCCGAUACUGACGCUGAGGAGCGAAAGCGUGGGGAGCGAACAGGAUUAGAUACCCCAGUAGUC